UACGUAGGGACCGAGCGUUGUCCGGAUUUAUUGGGCGUAAAGAGCGUGUAGGCGGCCAGGUAGGUCGGUUGUGAAAACUGGAGGCUCAACCUUCAGAGGUCGACCGAAACCAUCUGGCUAGAGUCCGGGAGAGGAGAGUGGAAUUCCUGGUGUAGCGGUGAAAUGCGCAGAUAUCAGGAAGAACACCCGUGGCGAAAGCGGCUCUCUGGAACGGUACUGACGCUGAGACGCGAAAGCGUGGGGAGCGAACAGG
This 253-nucleotide ribosomal RNA is filed under the name uncultured bacterium. RNAcentral describes it as "partial 16S ribosomal RNA". It matches the Rfam family "Bacterial small subunit ribosomal RNA", at positions 524 to 776 of the family's 1533-position model. The record is from RNAcentral.